GACGAACGCUGGCGGCGUGCUUAACACAUGCAAGUCACGGGGGCUCGCAAGAGCAACCGGCGAACGGGUGCGUAACACGUGAGCAACCUGCCGAUCUGAGGGGGAUAGCCGGCCCAACGGCCGGGUAAUACCGCAUACGUUCUCGAGGGGGAGUCCCCUUGGGAAGAAACCUCCGGGGCAGAUCGAGGGGCUCGCGGCCUAUCAGCUAGUUGGCGGUGUAAUGGACCACCAAGGCUUUGACGGGUAGCUGGUCUGAGAGGAUGGCCAGCCACAUUGGGACUGAGAGACGGCCCAGACUCCUACGGGAGGCAGCAGUGGGGAAUCUUGCGCAAUGGCCGAAAGGCUGACGCAGCGACGCCGCGUGUGGGAUGAAGCAUUUCGGUGUGUAAACCACUGUUGCCCGGGACGAACAUCCUCUUUCGAGAGGACUGACGGUACCGGGUGAGGAAGCACCGGCUAACUCCGUGCCAGCCGCCGCAG
Molecule: ribosomal RNA, 480 nt
Filed under: uncultured bacterium
Lineage: Bacteria
Description: bacterial SSU rRNA
Rfam family: Bacterial small subunit ribosomal RNA
Source: RNAcentral